UAUAAAGAGGAAAGAUUUGUUUGUUUGUUUGUUUCGAAUAGGCUCCGAAGCUACUGGACCGAUUUGAACAAUUAUUUUUCCAUUAGAAGCCGACAUUGUCCCUGAUGAACAUAGGCUACUUUUUUUAAUUUAUUUUUUAUUUUAUUUUUUUGGUUUCAUGUGUGUUUUAAUGUUUCCGAAGCGAAGCGAGGGCGGGUCGCUAGUAACUAAUAAAGCGACCGAUGGCAUUAGCUAGGUCUGUGGACUAGCUAUAUUUUCUAUUCAUUAAAUAAGAUAAAUUAAUAAGAUAAAAUUGAAUAAGAAAUGAAAUAAACUCGCAAAAAUUUUGAAUCAGAACGAAUUUGUUUUUGGGGAUAAAUAUUAGCUUCGUAUGCAUAUAUCUACGUAAGACUUGUGUCUACGGAAACUUCACAUAGGGCAACACGCCAGUAGGUAUUUGAAAUGAGUAGGCUAUUUUUUAAUCUAGCGUAUAGAUGUCACUAUUGCUUUUUUAGCAUUUUCGACGAACUUAUUACUGCUAUUGUAAAGCAGAAGUUGAUGAAUUAAGUACAGAAGCCAAGACAAGGAACGCACUACGAUAAUUAAUAUAUCGAUUUGUAAUGAUAUUAAUACAGUUCGUUAUCAAAAUAGCAUUACGUUUAAAUUAGUUUGACAAAACUAAAAACCAGACUAUGCAUAAACUAACAGCAGUUAAAUAGUACACGGAUGGGUUCUAAGAAUUGUCGAGGGGUACAGCCAACGAUGAACUCUGCUAUAGUAGCAGGAAGUGUGAUGAUAAAAAGAUAUAAGGAUAAUCACGGACAAUCCUCAGAGCAUCUCAGGAUUACAGCUGAACAACUAUUUAGUGUUCAAGAGUGAUCCUUCAGAUGAUUUUUCUAAUGAGUGAUUGAAAUUCAUGAAUGAAUAAUGAAGUCUACCACAACCAGAGGCAAAAUAUAAGCAUUACACCACGUCUGCAGUCGGCGUGCGGCCGAUUUCUAAAGAUAUUUAUAGAACAACACUCAACCCAGAUACUAGCACAUCGAGCAGGAAGCUUAUUUACAUUUUUGCCUGUAACUAUGCCGAAACGCGACCAGACCUGGAUAAUGAGCGGUUUAUUUUGCUUGGUAGUUUUAACAGAAAAAAGUGACGUGCAAGUGCUAGGCGAAGGUGUCAAUUCGUCAGCUCAUAAAUGGGCAUAAACAUGCAUUUUCUCUCACGGUUUACCUCCGCCGAUGUCCAUGACACUUAUUAAGAAUACGUCCCCACGGACGCCUCAGAGCGGACCUUCCGCGCACGAACCCGAAACGCACAUUUAUUUUAACAUCGUCAUAACUUUGAACAAGUUUUGUAACACUUCCCGGUUCCAGCAGGUGUCCGUGUGAACUUUGAACGCACUGAAACUCACUAUUAACUUCGCGGAUGGAAACACACGUUAUGUUUCACUUACUGUAAACUAAAAACGUACCUCCAGCGUGAAUGAUGUUAUAAUAAUAACUGUCUCUUCGCUCUCGCUUGUCCGAGGAACUAGUUAUCAAGGUCUCGUCUCGUUUGCAGUGUUCAAUUCCAAGAAUCAACACAGGUUAUGUAGUUAUGUAGCAAAACAACUAACACUGAACACAAUUUUACACUUUAUUUUCCUUUUAAUCAUUCGAAGACACUUUAAAAUAAUAUUGUUACAGCUUUAAUAAAGUUUUGUACACAAA
Molecule: long non-coding RNA, 1685 nt
Organism: Bombyx mori (domestic silkworm)
Lineage: Eukaryota; Metazoa; Arthropoda; Insecta; Lepidoptera; Bombycidae
Exons: 4
Source: RefSeq, a predicted model, not a curated record